CUGCAGCCCGAGUGGUGAUCGAUUUUAUUGAGCCUAAAGCGUCCGUAGCCGGACUAGUAAACCCUUGGGUAAAUUGGGCAGCUUAACUGUCCAAAUUCCGAGGGGACUGCUAGUCUUGGGACCGGGAGAGGUCAGAGGUACUCAAGGGGUAGGGGCUAAAUCCUGUAAUCCUUUGGGGACCACCAGUGGCGAAGGCGUCUAACUAGAACGGAUCCGACGGUAAGGGACGAAACCCUGGGGCGCGAACCGGAUUAGAUACCCGAGUAGUCC
This 270-nucleotide ribosomal RNA is filed under the name uncultured archaeon. RNAcentral describes it as "partial 16S ribosomal RNA". It matches the Rfam family "Archaeal small subunit ribosomal RNA", at positions 477 to 747 of the family's 1478-position model. The record is from RNAcentral.